RNAcentral lists this ribosomal RNA (422 nucleotides) under Fusobacteriota bacterium. Its description in RNAcentral is "Fusobacteria bacterium partial 16S ribosomal RNA". It matches the Rfam family "Bacterial small subunit ribosomal RNA", at positions 355 to 776 of the family's 1533-position model. Lineage: Bacteria; Fusobacteriati; Fusobacteriota. The record is from RNAcentral.
UGGGGGAUUUUGCACAAUGGGCGCAAGCCUGAUGCAGCGACGCCGCGUGAGGGAUGAAGGCCUUCUUGUUGUAAACCUCUUUCGCUGGGUUGAAAGGCCAUGCUUUGGGUGUGGUUGAUUUGAACUGGUAAAGAAGUACCGGCUAACUACGUGCCAGCAGCCGCGGUAAUACGUAGGGUACUAGCGUUGUCCGGAUUUAUUGGGCGUAAAGGGCUUGUAGGUGGUUUGUCGCGUCUGUCGUGAAAUCCUGUGGCUUAACCAUGGGCUUGCGGUGGGUACGGGCAGGCUUGAGUGCGGUAGGGGAGACUGGAAUUCCUGGUGUAGCGGUGGAAUGCGCAGAUAUCAGGAGGAACACCGGUGGCGAAGGCGGGUCUCUGGGCCGUUACUGACACUGAGGAGCGAAAGCGUGGGGAGCGAACAGG